GAUCUACAAAACUGCAGCACAUAUACUAAAAUUUGGAAUGAUACAGAGAUUAGCAUGGCCCCUGCGCAAGGAACCUCUUAACUUUACAUUCCAGUCUCUUUGUU
Molecule: small nuclear RNA, 104 nt
Organism: Phodopus roborovskii (desert hamster)
Lineage: Eukaryota; Metazoa; Chordata; Mammalia; Rodentia; Cricetidae
Source: RefSeq, a predicted model, not a curated record